CGCGUAGGCGGCUUGGUCAGUCCCGUGUGAAAUCCCUCGGCUCAACUGAGGAACUGCACGGGAAACUGCCUGGCUUGAGUUCGGGAGAGGGAAGCGGAAUUCCGGGUGUAGCGGUGAAAUGCGUAGAUAUCCGGAGGAACACCGGUGGCGAAGGCGGCUUCCUGGACCGACACUGACGCUGAGGCGCGAAAGCUAGGGGAGCAAAC
This 206-nucleotide ribosomal RNA is filed under the name uncultured bacterium. RNAcentral describes it as "partial 16S ribosomal RNA". It matches the Rfam family "Bacterial small subunit ribosomal RNA", at positions 568 to 773 of the family's 1533-position model. The record is from RNAcentral.